AUUGAGAAGAUAUGUGCAAAACCGUCUCCCCUCGAAAUCAUCACUGACGCCUCAAAUCCCACUCUGGUAUUAAUGAUAGAAAAGAUGUAUCAGCCUCUCUUUUUCAAAAUCAGGCGGCGUGCCAUCUUUUUUCAAUGAUUAGAAAUUGGUGUGGAGUGGCGGGCGAUGAUUUAGUGAUCCAGCACAUGCCAUACCAAGUGUCCUAUCACAGUCAAACCCAUAAGAGUCCGAUUGUUACCGGCAACUUCACAAUAACAAAGAGGCCCGCUUUGGCACACGACUUCGAAAUCUCGAGAGUGAUCUACUUUUCAGAACAAAUACUUCGAACUGGAAAAUGGGAGGCAAGUGUUGAACCAUAUUUUGUCCAUCCCUUUCAUAUGGCAAAUUCUGAAGGCAUGGUAUCAUGAUAUGGCAGCUCGAGACAUAUGAUCGAAACAACAUCACAUGACCCAUCCCUUUUAUAUGGCAAAUUCUGAAGAUGUGGUAUCAUGAUAUGGCAACUCGAGACAUAUGAUCGAAACAACAUCACACGACCUAGACUACGCCACAGACAUC
This 555-nucleotide long non-coding RNA is filed under the name Elaeis guineensis (African oil palm). RNAcentral's name for it is "long non-coding RNA (EGUI_LNC078976)". Lineage: Eukaryota; Viridiplantae; Streptophyta; Magnoliopsida; Arecales; Arecaceae. The record is from RNAcentral.